Long non-coding RNA from Hyla sarda, 340 nucleotides. RefSeq lists it as uncharacterized. The transcript has 3 exons. NCBI's taxonomy places the organism in Eukaryota, Metazoa, Chordata, Amphibia, Anura, Hylidae. The record is from RefSeq and is a predicted model, not a curated record.
GAUAAAUCUUCCUCAUAGGCCCUAAACUCCAGGCAUUUGGUUCCUCGGGACAUCAGAUCUGCUGUCAAGGAUUCUAGUCACACUACCCUCUUAGGACAAACUUCUCCAGUCUGAACUUCAGGACCCCAGCCAGAAGCGGACCCAGAAAAGAAAGUAACAAUUUUGGCUAAAACAAAGGCAAGGAAAAUAAAUUCACAGGCAUUCUCAAAAGACACAAAGAUGCACAUAACAGGAAGUUCUUCCAGAUACAUCCACAUAUCUGUAUAAGUCUAUUGGAAGAGGAAUCUCAUUUAUCAUCGCUUGCAUGCUGGUGACUCGGAAGUUGUUAUAGCUAUAGUCA